GACGAACGCUGGCGGCGUGCUUAACACAUGCAAGUCGAGCGAUGAAGCUCCUUCGGGAGUGGAUUAGCAGCGGACGGGUGAGUAACACGUGGGUAACCUGCCUCAUAGAGGGGAAUAGCCUUUCGAAAGGAAGAUUAAUACCGCAUAAGAUUGUAGCUUCGCAUGAGGCAGCAAUUAAAGGAGUAAUCCGCUAUGAGAUGGACCCGCGUCGCAUUAGCUAGUUGGUGAGGUAACGGCUCACCAAGGCGACGAUGCGUAGCCGACCUGAGAGGGUGAUCGGCCACAUUGGGACUGAGACACGGCCCAGACUCCUACGGGAGGCAGCAGUGGGGAAUAUUGCACAAUGGGGGAAACCCUGAUGCAGCAACGCCGCGUGAGUGAUGACGGUCUUCGGAUUGUAAAGCUCUGUCUUCAGGGACGAUAAUGACGGUACCUGAGGAGGAAGCCACGGCUAACUACGUGCCAGCCGCCGCAGUAA
RNAcentral lists this ribosomal RNA (478 nucleotides) under uncultured bacterium. Its description in RNAcentral is "partial 16S ribosomal RNA". It matches the Rfam family "Bacterial small subunit ribosomal RNA", at positions 28 to 523 of the family's 1533-position model. The record is from RNAcentral.